This 47-nucleotide small nucleolar RNA is filed under the name Pyrobaculum islandicum DSM 4184. Its description in RNAcentral is "PISsR111". The record is from RNAcentral. Lineage: Archaea; Thermoproteati; Thermoproteota; Thermoprotei; Thermoproteales; Thermoproteaceae.
AUGAAGGCAGGUGUGUGGCGACUUAUGAGCGGUGGUGACAAAGCUGA